AUUGAACGCUGGCGGCGGGCUUAACACAUGCAAGUCGAACGAGCGGCGAACGGGUGAGUAAUGCAUGGGAAAGUACCGUGUGAAGGGGGAUAACUGCUGGAAAGGGUAGCUAAUACCGCAUAUUAUCAGAGCGGCCGAGUUGUGAUUAGCUAGUAGGCGGGGUAAAGGCACACCAAGGCGACGAUCAGUAGCUGGUCUGAGAGGAGGAUCCGCCACACGGGAACUGAGACACGGCCCAGACUCCUACGGGAGGCAGCAGUGGGGAAUAUUGGACAAUGGGCGCAAGCCUGAUCCAGCCAUGCCGCGUGUCUGAAGAAGGCCUUCGGGUUGUAAAGGACUUUUGGCAGGGAAGCGGUACCUGAAGAAUAAGCACCGGCUAACUACGUGCCAGCAGCCGCGGUAAUAC
RNAcentral lists this ribosomal RNA (406 nucleotides) under uncultured bacterium. RNAcentral's name for it is "partial 16S ribosomal RNA". It matches the Rfam family "Bacterial small subunit ribosomal RNA", at positions 29 to 526 of the family's 1533-position model. The record is from RNAcentral.